UACGGGGGGGAGCAAGCGUUGUUCGGAUUUACUGGGCGUAAAGGGCGCGUAGGCGGCCACCGCAAGUCGAUUGUGAAAUCUCCGGGCUUAACCCGGAAAGGUCAACCGAUACUGCGGGGCUAGAGUGCAGAAGGGGCAACUGGAAUUCUCGGUGUAGCGGUGAAAUGCGUAGAUAUCUGGAGGAACACCCGUGGUGCAGACGGCUUGCUGGACCGUGACUGACGCUGAGGCACGAAAGCGUGGGUAGCAAACAGG
Molecule: ribosomal RNA, 255 nt
Filed under: uncultured bacterium
Lineage: Bacteria
Description: partial 16S ribosomal RNA
Rfam family: Bacterial small subunit ribosomal RNA
Source: RNAcentral